GCGGCAUUAGUCUAGUGGUAGGACGGAGGCUUCCCAAGCCUCUAGCGCGGGUUCGAGUCCCGCAUGCCGCA
Molecule: transfer RNA, 71 nt
Filed under: Candidatus Celaenobacter polaris
Lineage: Bacteria; Pseudomonadati; Candidatus Cloacimonadota; Cloacimonadia (SeqCode)
Description: tRNA-Gly
Rfam family: tRNA
About the family: Transfer RNA (tRNA) molecules are approximately 80 nucleotides in length. Their secondary structure includes four short double-helical elements and three loops (D, anti-codon, and T loops). Further hydrogen bonds mediate the characteristic L-shaped molecular structure. tRNAs have two regions of fundamental functional importance: the anti-codon, which is responsible for specific mRNA codon recognition, and the 3' end, to which the tRNAs corresponding amino acid is attached (by aminoacyl-tRNA synthetases). tRNAs cope with the degeneracy of the genetic code in two manners: having more than one tRNA (with a specific anti-codon) for a particular amino acid; and 'wobble' base-pairing, i.e. permitting non-standard base-pairing at the 3rd anti-codon position.
Source: RNAcentral